AAUGAACGCUGGCGGCAUGCCUUACACAUGCAAGUCGAACGGCAGCAUGACCUAGCUUGCUAGGUUGAUGGCGAGUGGCGAACGGGUGAGUAAUGCAUCGGAACGUGCCUUUUAGUGGGGGAUAACGUAGCGAAAGUUACGCUAAUACCGCAUAUUCUCUGAGGAGGAAAGCAGGGGACCUUCGGGCCUUGCGCUAGAAGAGCGGCCGAUGUCGGAUUAGCUAGUUGGUGAGGUAAAGGCUCACCAAGGCAACGAUCCGUAGCGGGUCUGAGAGGAUGAUCCGCCACACUGGGACUGAGACACGGCCCAGACUCCUACGGGAGGCAGCAGUGGGGAAUUUUGGACAAUGGGCGCAAGCCUGAUCCAGCCAUGCCGCAUGAGUGAAGAAGGCCUUCGGGUUGUAAAGCUCUUUCGGCUGGGAAGAAAUCGCACCCUCUAAUACAGGGUGUGGAUGACGGUACCAGCAUAAGAAGCACCGGCUAACUACGUG
Molecule: ribosomal RNA, 490 nt
Filed under: uncultured bacterium
Lineage: Bacteria
Description: partial 16S ribosomal RNA
Rfam family: Bacterial small subunit ribosomal RNA
Source: RNAcentral